This 2756-nucleotide long non-coding RNA is filed under the name Mytilus galloprovincialis (Mediterranean mussel). The record is from RNAcentral. Lineage: Eukaryota; Metazoa; Mollusca; Bivalvia; Mytilida; Mytilidae.
GCUUCCUUGAUGGUUAUCUCUCAUAAAGCUGCAAUUUAAUUGCAGAACUUCCGCCAAUUAUUGCAUACUCCCUUGAUGGCUAUCUCUAAUAAAGGUGAGUUUGAUUGCAGAACUUUCUCAAAGUUUUGCAUGCUCCCUUGAUAGCUAUCUUUAAUAAAGCUCCUUUUAAUUGCAGGACUUCCCCCAAUGAUUUCAUGCUCCCUUGAUGGCUAUACAUUUGUUCAAUCCUGUCCAGUUGGUUGCUGUGGAAGCAGUUGUUGUCCAGAAAACGAAUUGUAAGUAAAGUAACGAAUAAUAGAUGAGAAAAUAGAAAACAUUUAGUUAUUUUUGUCAUUCUUCAACUAAUAACUUCAUGUACAUAUUUAUCGUUUUUCUUAUCUCCUGCACACAAUAUACGAAAGCAUAUAUAAAAAUAGUAGCACUCGGUGCAUACGUCACGGUUUGAAACGCUGACAGUAACUAGGUUAAUUCAUCCGUUACCCAAAGAGUGUUUUCCAAAACUAAUCGAACUUUAACACCAAUUUAACGCAAAUUAAAAAUGUGCAUCUAAUAUUUUUGAAAAUUGUAUGUUAUAUUUUCAUGCUUGAAAUGUGUCGAACAAUUUCUUUUCAUGUUCUAAAAAAGAAGCAACAGAUAUAAAAGCGACAUUCAUUCUAAUGAGUAGAAAUAAACUGACAACGUCAUGGCUUAAAAAGAAAAAAGCCAAACAGCCAAACAAUAGUUCACUAAACACAACAUAGAAAAUUAUAGACUGAUCACAUGAAACCCAUAAAAUCUGAGAGUGAUCUUAGGGUCAACAGAUACGGUCCCACAUAUGCCACCCGUCAUGUUGCUCAUGUUAGUACACAUCUGGUAAUAAGUUUAACUUGAUAGGUCACAUUCGGGGGAAAGGGGUUGGGAUUUUGGUUACGACAUUUGGAGAAUAUCCACUAUAAUUUCUAAAAUAUAUAUUCCUUCCGGUCAACCUACUCGUGAUGGCAUACGUAAAUUUACAAAGAAAUAAUUGCAACUUCACCUCUUUAAACUCUUUGUUUAGAACUUCCUUAUAAGCAAGAAAAUCAUGAUAGGAAAUACAAGCUCUGGAAUAUCGUAACAGCUGUGAGAUAUAUAUACUCCGUUAUCUAAUUUGAGUCAUCUGAAAUCUUAAAGUGUUUUUAAACAUUAUUCAAAUUUCUUUAUAAUUUUAUACAGAUCUAAAAUAUGCAUCUCAAACUGAUGACCGACUUACUUUUCCCCUUCGGUCAUUUUUCUUAUUUAAUACUCUAGCGGUUACAUAGUUUAUAUGUGUAAUCUCUUAUAUAAAAUUUUCCCUACUCUGCAUUUGGGACAUUAAUAUCCCAAUUAUGAUUUCAUUCAGCUAGCUACGAAAAUCGAAGCCUCUAUAAAAUGUAAAUAUUGUCAUGAUUAGUUAUAUCUGGCUUCAUCGCUUUAGAGAUAAAAUCAUUAUUUAGUUUUAGAAUGCAUUCAUGACAUUAUUCACGCCUUGUAUUGGAUCCUGAAUCCCAAAUAUUACUUUAUCCCAAUACCUAUCAAAACAAGAGGGAGAUAAACAGUAAAAUCACAAAAAUACUGAACUCCGAAGAAAAUUCAAAACGGAAAGUCCCUUAUCAAAUGACAAAAUCAAAAGCUCUAACACAUUAAACAAAUGGACAACAACUGUCAUAUUCCUGAGUUGGUACAGGCAUGUUCUUAGAUAGAAAAGCCAACACAACAUACAAAUCUUGUUUUUAUUUGGCGUCAGUUCUAUCAAACUAUAUGUCAUUUAGUCUGAUAAUUUUCUUUACAUUCAUAGUAAACAUAUAUAAAUGCAUUUAAUUGGUUGCGCCUUUGACAAAAGGCAGCGAUUAGAACUUUUAGAAUUUCCCAUCUCUACCAGAGAUCAGAGAACGAGAGUGUAAACCUAGUUAAUCUUUUUAUAUGUAUUCAUUUCAGGUUUGGAGGUGAGUUAACAGGAAUUAUAACAGGAUCGCUGGCGUUCUUGUUGUUUAUCACAAUUACUCUGAUACUUGUUUGGUAUAAAUCAGAUGAUAGGAACAGAAGUAGAUGGAAAUAUAUUUCAAUAGUAUGACAUGAAAUAAGACAACCAACGACGAAACAGUUGAACAUUUUCUUCCGACUUAUUGGUGUUCACAUCGAGGCAAUGUGACAGCUGAUGAUACUUGACCAUUCUCCAAAUAGAUAUAGGAUCCAAAUGAUUAAAGACUUGCUUGGAAAUAUCAGACAAACAUUCUGUUUAAGGAGAUACAUAUCAAUGCUGAAAAGUUAUAAAAAUUGAAAAGCAAAAAUUAUAACAAUGUUCUCCAAAACAUGACAUUCUCUACUUGUAUUUUUGUCCAUCUGACGAGUUAAGCCUUUUUCAACUGAUGUUUAUAGUUCGUUCUUAUGUUGUACUGUUAUACCACUGUCCCAGGUUAGGGGAGGGUUGGGAUCCCGCUAACAUGUUUAACCCCGCCCACAUUAUUUAUGUAUGUGCCUGUCCCAAGUCAGGAGCCUGUAAUGCAGUGGUUGUCGUUUGUUUAUGUGUUACAUAUUUGUUUUUCGUUCAUUUUUUUUAUAUAAAUAAGGCCGUUAGUUUUCUCGUUUGAAUUGUUUUACAUUGUCUUAUCGGGGCCUAUGAGCUGACUAUGCGGUAUGGGCUUUGCUCAUUGUUGAAGGCCGUACGGUGACCUAUAGUUGUUAAUGUCUGUGUCAUUUUUGUCUUUUGUGGAUAGUUGUCUCAUUGGUAAUCAUACCACAUCUUCUUUUUUAUAUUUUAU